This is a non-coding RNA of Cyanistes caeruleus (blue tit), 402 nucleotides long. Lineage: Eukaryota; Metazoa; Chordata; Aves; Passeriformes; Paridae. The record is from RefSeq and is a predicted model, not a curated record.
AGCUGAGGAUUCAGGCUGUAAAUCUGGCUGGGACUCUGAAGCAGCACGAGCCCGUGGCCCCUGUUGUGACAGCUGCUGUGCCACCUUUGUGCCUUGCUGUGUGCUGCAGAGAUAUGGACACUGAGCACCAAGAAGAAAGAAGGAUGUUGGCUGGGUCAGCAAGCUUUGCUCCUGCAUUUGGAGUUCUGGGAGCCAGUGUUGACAGUAAUCCAUCAGCUCUUCCAUGUGAUUCCAUGCAGCCUGGCUGUGUGACUGCCAGCACAUCCCGUGGGGUGACCUGGCUGAGUGCUCUGCUCUGGGUCACUUUCCCUCUGCUUCUGGAACUCGUGGGCAGUCAGCAGAGGGGAUCAGCGACUCACAGGCACCACUGAGAGGGGUUUUUAUCUCAACCCACAAAUUUCC